AAUUUAAUUUAGAAAAGUGUUUAGUCGUUCAUUUAAACCUUUAGUCGAUUUAUUUAUUUAUUUUUUUUCAUUUAAGCCAUUAUUCG
Long non-coding RNA from Sinocyclocheilus rhinocerous, 86 nucleotides. RefSeq lists it as uncharacterized. The transcript has 3 exons. Lineage: Eukaryota; Metazoa; Chordata; Actinopteri; Cypriniformes; Cyprinidae. The record is from RefSeq and is a predicted model, not a curated record.